This 2987-nucleotide long non-coding RNA is filed under the name Sus scrofa (pig). RNAcentral describes it as "lncRNA (ENSSSCG00050029527.1)". Lineage: Eukaryota; Metazoa; Chordata; Mammalia; Artiodactyla; Suidae. The record is from RNAcentral.
GCCGCACCUGAGGCAUAUGGAAGUUCCCAAGCUAGGGUUGGAGCUACAGCUUCGGUCCUGCCCACAGCCACAGCUACAUGGGAUCUGAGCUGCAUCUGCAACCUACACCACAGCUCACAUCAAUGCCGGAUCCUUAACCAGCUGAGCGAGGCCAGGGAUCAAACCCACAUACUGGUCAAACUCAUUUCCACUGCGCCACAGUAGGAACUCCUGUUCUUAUUUUAAUUAAUAGUGAUGAACCUGUAUCAUUCUUGAUACAUGUUUAUUCAAGAGAAAAAAUAUUUUCAUAGGUGAGACAUUUGGGUCUACCCAUUUUAGGUCACUUUAGCCUUGAAUAAAUUAUUUUCCGCUGCCUUGUGGCAGUCAUUUUAGACUCAAAGAGAAGGCUCUCUUAUUUAGGAAACAGAGGCUCAUAUCAUAGCAAUGUGUGAAUCAGCUAUCCUAAUAGAGUGCAGACUAGGAGUUUGGGGUUAGUAGAUGCAAACUAUUGCAUUUAGAAUAUAGAUAAGCAAUGAGGUCCUACAGUACAGGGAAUUAUACCCAAUCUCUUGGGAUAGAUCAUGAUAGAAGAUAAUAUAAGAAAAGGAAUGUGUGUGUGUGUAUAUAUGACUGGGUCACUUUGCUCUGCAGCAUAAACUGGCAAAACAUUGUAACUCAACCACACUUUAUUAAAAAAAAAAAAAGUGUGGGCUUGAGGGUAAACAAUCAGGAGAAAAAUUUACAGUUUCUAAGAUUCCUUCCAAUGCUGAUGCUUCACAGUAACCAGGAAGAUGAUAAUGGCUUAAUAUUUGGGGUAAAAAUGAUUAUGAUAGAAAAAUAUAAGUAACAAUCUUUUAUUGAAUCUCAUAUAGAACCAUGUGUUUGAUACCUAAUGAACAUAAUGUCAUUUAAUUCCUCUACAAUCCUAGAAGAUUAACCCAAUUUUGCAGGUGAGGAAAUUGAGGCAUAAUUUAAUGAUUAGCAGAACUAAAAGUCCCAUCCAGGCUUCUCAAACUACAAAGAGCUCAUCUUCCACCUUGUGAAACUUCUCUGAGCCCUCAUCCAUUCCAGUCCUGUUCUUAGCCCUUCCCUUUGCCUCAAGCAGCUCAUUUAAGCCUCACAACAAUGCUAUGAGAUAGGGUGUGGCAUCCACAGGUCUUGGUGUGGAAACCCAGACAACAGAAAAUCCCCAGAAAGGGUAUUUCUCAUCCAUCAUCAGCAACACAGUAAAGGAAGCCUUACGGCUUUCGAUUUUUAGGCUGCAAGAAAUGUCUUACCUAAAUUGCUGAUUAAACAUAGUCCCCAUCUCCUUUCAGCUUAGCAAACCUGUGUGCCAGGGUACAUAGUGUGUGUAAUUACUUAGCACCCAAGUUCUGAAGUCAGAACACCUGCCUCUGAAGCGAGGUUCUGCUACUCACCUGCUGGUGAACUUGGGAACUUCCUAUUUUUGGAGCCUCCAUUUCCUGGUCUAAAAACAAGGACUUCGAGGAGUUCCCAUUGUGGCUCAGUGGGUUAAGAACCCCACUAGUAUCCAUGAGGAUGUGGGUUCAAUCCCUGGCCUCACUCAGUGGGUUAAGGAUCCAGCAUUGCUGCACGAUGUGGUGCAGGCUGCAGGUGCGGCUCAGAUCCCACGUUGCUAUAGCUGUGGUCUAGGCCGGAAGCUGCAGCUCUGAUUCAACCCCUAGCCUGGGAACUUCAUAUGCCAGAGGUACAGCCCUAAAAAGAGAAAAAAAAAAAAAAUGAAAACAAGGGCCUCUAGAGGUUUGCUAUGAGGACUAACUGAGCUAAGCCAAUGUAAAGUGCUGGAGUAAUGCCUGGGAUGGAAAAGUUAAUGUGUUUGAGAAAUCAAAUACAUUAACUUUUGGUGGUGUCAUCAUUCUUGGGCCAGAAGACAUAAGGGUGUAUUUUCUAAAUAUUCAGUCCUUGGACCACUGCCUCAGUGGAAUCUUAAAAAAAGAUACAAAUGAACCUUAUUUGCAGAAUAGAAACAGACUACAGAUGUUGAAAAAAUUUAUGGUUACCAAAGGAGGCAGGUCGGGGGUGGGGGCAGGGAUGGACUAAGGGGUUGGGAUUAGUAUAUGCACACUGAGGCAUAGGGAAUGACUGACCAUUAGGGACCUGCUGCAUAGCACAAUAUUCUGUGAUAAUCUUAUGUGGGGAAAGAAUCUGAAACAGAAUGGAUGUGUGUAUAUAUAUAACUGUAUCACUCUGUUGUACAGUAGAAAUGAUCACAACUUUGUAAACCAGCUAUAUUUCAAGAAAACUAUUAAAAACCCUGUGAUGCCAAUGCUGCUGGACCAGAUCACACUUUGAGUAGCAAGGAAUUAGAAUGUGUACAGCAGAUUCAGGGGUGCUGCCUCAGACUUCGGGGAGAGGGAGGACUCCGGAAAGACCAAGCAUUUAACUCACUCUCAAAGAGAUUUUAAGGCACACUAAAGCUUGAGAAGGCCGUGAGCGAGGCUUCAGAUGGUUCUAUUAACAUUAUUUGACAGUGCAAUUCACUGGAGACACAGCCUGAUCGAAUUCCUGAUUCAUCAUCAUGACUUCAGGGUAAAAUGCUUCUGAUUCUAAGACACCCUCAUCUCUUUCUGUAACAGAGGUAAUGAGUCAAUUUUCCAAACACAGUAAGUAGAUAAUCCUUCUCAAUUUACUAACAUAAUUCCCCGAAUAUUAAGGAGCAUUAGAAAAGGCAUCCUUUUUGCAAGCUCAACUAAGCAGUAGUUUUCUAGCACAAAUAUUAUGGGCAAUAAGGCAUUUUGUUCAAGGUUGACAGCUUGAGUUAACAGUUUCUAUUUUAUACUGAUGUUCUUUUUCCAGUUCCUUCAAUAUUUUCUUUUUGUAUAUAGUAGGUUUUUUUUUUUAAUAUUCUUUUGGUUUGAGAUAAAAUGAAUGUCAUAGAAAUGAUUCAGGGAUAUAAAUUCAAAGGAGCUUUGACCCCAAUAGUCUUUGAGUAGGGCAGUGACCAGGGCAGCUCAUAGGGUUACCGACCACCACAGUUUACUCAGGGU